Bos taurus (domestic cattle) is the source of this 2436-nucleotide long non-coding RNA. Lineage: Eukaryota; Metazoa; Chordata; Mammalia; Artiodactyla; Bovidae. The record is from Ensembl.
UGUUGAGCUUUAAGCCAACUUUUUCACUCUCCUCUUUUACUUUCAUCAAGAGGCUUUUUAGUUCCUCUUCACUUUCUGCCAUAAGGGUGGUGUCAUCUGCAUAUCUGAGGUUAUUGAUAUUUCUCCUGGCAAUCUUGAUUCCAGCUUGUGCUUCUUCCAGCCCAGAGUUUCUCAUGAUGUACUCUGCAUAGAAGUUAAAUAAGCAGGGUGACAAUAUACAGCCUUGACGUACUCCUUUUCCUAUUUGGAACCAGUCUGUUGUUCCAUGUCCAGUUCUAACUGUUGCUUCCUGACCUGCAUACAGGUUUCUCAAGAGGCAGGUCAGGUGGUCUGGUAUUCCCAUCUCUUGAAGAAUUUUCCACAGUUUGUGGUGAUCCCCACAGUCAAAGGCUUUGGCAUAGUCAAUAAAGCAGAAAUCGAUGUUUCUCUGGAACUCUCUUGCUUUUUCAAUGAUCCAGCGGAUGUUGUCAAUUUGAUCUCUGGUUCCUCUGCCUUUCCUAAAACCAGCUUGAACAUCUGGAAGUUCACGGUUCACGUACUGCUGAAGCCUGGCUUGAAGGAUUUUGAGCAUUACUUUACUAGCGUGUGAGAUGAGUGCAAUUGUACGGUAGUUUGAGCAUUCUUUGGCAUUGCCUUUCUUUGGGAUUGGAAUGAAAACUGACCUUUUCCAGUCUUGUGGUCACUGCUGAGUUUUCCAAAUUUCCUGGAAUAUUGAGUGCAGCACUUUCACAGCAUCAUCUUUCAGGAUCUGAAAUAGCUCAACUGGAAUUCCAUUGCCUCCACUAGCUUUGUUUGUAAUGAUGCUUUCUAAGGCCCACUUGACUUCAGCUUCCAGGAUGUCUGGCUCUAGGUGAGUGAUCACACCAUUGUGAAUAUCUGGGUCGUGAAGCUCUUUUUUGCACAGUUCUUCUGUGUAUUCUUGUCACCUCUUCUUAAUAUCUUCUGCUUCUGUUAGGUCCAUACCAUUUCUGUCCUUUAUCGAGCCCAUCUUUGCAUGAAAUAUUCCCUUGGUCUCUCUAAUUUUCUUGAAGAGAUCUCUAGUCUUUCCCAUUCUGUUGUUUUCCUCUAUUUCUUUGCAUUGAUCGCUGAGGAAGGCUUUCUUAUCUCUCCUUGCUAUUUUUUGGAACUCUGCAUUCAGAUGCUUAUAUCUUUCCUUUUCUCCUUUGCUUUUCGCUUCUCUUCUUUUCACAGCUAUUUGUAAGGCCUCCUCAGACAGCCAUUUUGCUUUUCUGCAUUUCUUUUCCAUGGGGAUGGUCUUGAUCCCUGUCCCCUGUACAAUGUCAUGAACCUCCAUCCAUAGUUCUUCAGGCACUCUGUCUAUCAGAUCUAGGCCCUUAAAUUUAUUUUUCACUUCCACUGUGUAAUCAUAAGGGAUUUAAUUUAGAUCAUAUCUCAAUGGUCUAGUGGUUUUCCCUACUUUCUUCAAUUUAAGUCUGAAUUUGGCAAUAAGGAGUUCAUGAUCUGAGCCACAGUCAGCUCUCAGUCUUGUUUUUGCUGACUGUAUAGAGCUUCUCCAUCUUUGGCUGCAAAGAAUAUAACCAAUCUAAUUUCGGUGUUGACCAUCUGGUGAUGUCCAUGUGUAGAGUCUUCUUUUGUGUUGUUGGAAGACAGUGUUUGUUAUAACCAGUGCGUUCUCUUGGCAAAACUCUAUUAGCCUUUGCCCUGCUUCAUUCCAUACUCCAAGGCCAAAUUUGCCUGUUACUCCAGAUGUUUCUUGACUUCCUACUUUUGCUUUCCAGUCCCCUAUAAUGAAAAGGACAUCUCCCUAAUUAAUCACCUUCCAAAUCCUCUCAGGCUUAUUCUAAGUGAGGAGAGUGCCCUUCCCCCACACUCCACUCAGAUGGUGCUCUUCUCUGUAAUCCAGGCAAGUUCAAGCAGGUUUGACCUUAGUAGACCAAAAACCUCAGAGACCAGUAGGGUACUACAGCUGUAUCUUGGAAACUGCUGAGGUUUCAUUUAUUCACCUUUGUGCUGGGUAGUGGUAUGAAAAACUCAGUCUCUGUGCAGCAGUGCAAAAUCGAAUGUCAGAGACAGAGUUUUGGGUGACGUAAAAAAGAAUAGUUUUAUUGUUUUGCCAGGCAAAGGGGGAUACAAUUGGCUCCUGCCCUUGAAACUGUGGUAGGUUUGGCUGAGGAGUUUUAUACUAAUAGCUCAAGGGCAGAGCUGCUAAUAGGGAUCAGGGCCUGCACUGCUUUAAUCCAGCCUCAGGUGGUCUCCUAAUGAGCUUCUCUGGUUCCUUUCAUCUGGCCUCAGGGUCCCAUCCAGGAUACCACAGUACUUUUAAUUUUGUUGUUCAGUCGCUCAGUCAUGUCGACCCUUUGCGACCCCAUGGACUGCAGCACGCCAAGCUUCUCUGUCCUUCACCACCUCCCAGAGCUUGGGCAAACUCAUGUCCAUUGAGUUGGUGAUGCCAUCCAACCAUCUCAUCCUCUGUCG